Molecule: small RNA, 940 nt
Filed under: Penicillium oxalicum
Lineage: Eukaryota; Fungi; Ascomycota; Eurotiomycetes; Eurotiales; Aspergillaceae
Description: eukaryotic LSU rRNA
Rfam family: Eukaryotic large subunit ribosomal RNA (bases 344-940)
Source: RNAcentral
UUGACUAAAUCAGUUAAAACUUUCAACAACGGAUCUCUUGGUUCCGGCAUCGAUGAAGAACGCAGCGAAAUGCGAUAAGUAAUGUGAAUUGCAGAAUUCAGUGAAUCAUCGAGUCUUUGAACGCACAUUGCGCCCCCUGGUAUUCCGGGGGGCAUGCCUGUCCGAGCGUCAUUGCUGCCCUCAAGCACGGCUUGUGUGUUGGGCUCUCGCCCCCCGCUUCCGGGGGGCGGGCCCGAAAGGCAGCGGCGGCACCGCGUCCGGUCCUCGAGCGUAUGGGGCUUCGUCACCCGCUCUGUAGGCCCGGCCGGCGCCCGCCGGCGAACACCAUCAAUCUUAACCAGGUUGACCUCGGAUCAGGUAGGGAUACCCGCUGAACUUAAGCAUAUCAAUAAGCGGAGGAAAAGAAACCAACAGGGAUUGCCUCAGUAACGGCGAGUGAAGCGGCAAGAGCUCAAAUUUGAAAGCUGGCUCCUUCGGGGUCCGCAUUGUAAUUUGCAGAGGAUGCUUCGGGAGCGGCCCCCAUCUAAGUGCCCUGGAACGGGCCGUCAUAGAGGGUGAAAAUCCCGUCUGGGAUGGGGUGUCCGCGCCCGUGUGAAGCUCCUUCGACGAGUCGAGUUGUUUGGGAAUGCAGCUCUAAAUGGGUGGUAAAUUUCAUCUAAAGCUAAAUAUUGGCCGGAGACCGAUAGCGCACAAGUAGAGUGAUCGAAAGAUGAAAAGCACUUUGAAAAGAGAGUUAAACAGCACGUGAAAUUGUUGAAAGGGAAGCGCUUGCGACCAGACUCGCCCACGGGGUUCAGCCGGCAUUCGUGCCGGUGUACUUCCCCGCGGGCGGGCCAGCGUCGGUUUGGGCGGCCGGUCAAAGGCCCUCGGAAUGUAACGCCCCCCGGGGCGUCUUAUAGCCGAGGGUGCCAUGCGGCCAGCCCAGACCGAGGAACGCGCU